GGAGCCUCGCUGGCCUCUGCGGCCCCAAGCCCAGGAAGCAGGCAGAGCAAAGGCUGAGGGAAAGAGAGAGGUUUGCUGAAAGCUUCCAGGGGGCUUGCUUAAAUGGCCCCUGCUGGUGCUGGGAGUUGCUGGCACUUGUGGGUGGGGAGAGGGAGCCAGGUUGCAGUCAGGCAGCAACUCGAAGAAUUUCUGGUACGAUGCCUAAGGAACUCAGACGGAAGAGGCCUGAAUGUCCAAGGCUCUAGUGAUCUGUGUGACUUUUCUCAUUCUAAGAAUAAUACUCAGAAAAGAAUAAGUUCUUGUAUACACUCAGCAUUUUACAAAUGUAAGUUACUGGUCUCUGGGGGUUUCCUCUGUGGAUGUUUUGUCUCCUCCACCCUCUGCAACCUCCCUGAGGGCAGAAACAUGUCCUACGUAUUCUCUGUUGCCAUGGUGUCUUAUAACAAGCCAAGAAUGAAGAGGUUGAGUUCGAACCCAACAAUAUGCCCAUGAAGGCCCAGCUGCAUAGACAGAGGUGGCAUGCGGUUCAUGAAGAAUGUGCUAUCAGACUCCCCCAUUCCAGCCUCCUCUCUGACUGCAAGUGAGUCUGCAAAUAUCUCUGGGGACAAACAAAACGAUCCCCCUCCACCACAGUCAGUUAGCCCCACAUGAUGUAGCACUUAGUUCUGUAGUGAGAAGCAGCCUGGCGUCCUGGAAGAUCCUUGGAGCAGGAAUCAGCACACCCUGACUGCACUCUGGCCCUAUUCCCUCAAUUAAUGAAACUCAACCACAGCUUUCCCCUCUGGAGACUAAGGAAUCAAUCGUCUCUGACCUGACUACCUGAAUGUGUGCUGAGGAUCAAAUAUGAUAACCCUAAGAAGCCGCACACACAAAGGGACUGUUAUCAUUUCAACCUGCCCACUGAGCUUCACACUCCAUGGUCUUUCCUUCUAGAAGGUCAUCUCAUUGAAGGCAAAGAGGCAAGCAUCAGCUCUGUGUUCCCUGCAUCCCCACACCCAGUGCCCUGCAGAGGAGGGGCAUACAGGAAAUGCUUGUAAAUGGAUGAAUGUCAAGCCCCAAACCCCACGGAGCCCUAGAAGCAUCCCCUUUCCAGGUUCCUUGUCCUCACCGGCUCUCCUCGCCCUCCAGCAGCUUGCGGUAGGUGGCGAUCUCGAUGUCCAGGGCCAGCUUCACGCUCAUGAGUUCCUGGUACUCACGCAGCUGCCGUGCCAUAUCCUGCUUGCCCCGCUGCAGGGCGGCUUCCAGCUCCUCCUGCUUGGCACGAGCAUCCUUGAGCGCCAGCUCCCCACGCUCCUCAGCCUCGGCAAUGGCGGCCUCCAACUUGGCACGCUGUGGGCAGCAGUGCAGCUGUAAGCUGGGGCUCACCAGUCUGCCUUCCUGCCUGCCCAUCCUGCAGUGAGCACCCGGGCAACUUGCUUAAGGUGGCUUCAUUGGCACCACCUACUCCCCCAAGUACCAGAGAAUCCUAAGGGUUAAACACAUAGGUUUGGAUAUCCAACGCCUAUGUUCCAGUUCUGGCUCUGCCACUUACUAGCUGUGUGACCAUGGAUGAAUCAACCCUGCUAAGCCAAAGUCCCCUCUUUUCUAAGAGAACAUCAGGAGAUUUUGAGGAUGAAAUGAGAUAAUAUACAAGAUGUCCGUGGCACAAUGUCUAGCACACAGCAAGUGCUUAAUAAAUGCUAUUGUGAUCAUUUUUAA
RNAcentral lists this long non-coding RNA (1698 nucleotides) under Homo sapiens (human). Its description in RNAcentral is "KRT7 antisense RNA 1 (KRT7-AS)". The record is from RNAcentral. Lineage: Eukaryota; Metazoa; Chordata; Mammalia; Primates; Hominidae.